GUUUCUCUAUUUGAACACGCACCUUCCAUUAAGUACAGACUAGAAACCCUAUUCUCUAAGGUUGAGACCGCCAGUUUUAAUGCAAUCGAGUGGUCAGAUUGAUCCAAAAACUCCAGGAUGGACACGAUGAUAAUCAAUUGCUCAUGCGUGAUUUGUGAUAGACAUUAGACAGUGGAUAUGAACUUUAAAAUAGUGUGCUUGAGUGGUCUAGCUUGAAUUGCAUUUUUGGAAUGGACUGGCUGUAGGCAACUGUGGUUAACAGACAUUAGGAAAAAAAUCACCUGUAUACUAAUAUGUGAAUUAUAGGUAGCUGAUGUCAAUUAACGCUUGGAAUGGUUCUCAUCAUUCAAUGUGGAAUUCAACUGGGCGAAACCAUAGUAAACUGGAGUACUGGACAUCUGACAACUAUAGGCAGCUUCUAUAUUAUGACUGCAUAUUAAAUAUGUUGUGGCGGUAUUGAAUUUCUUACUGUCAGCCUGGUGCUUCAAGCAAAUAAGUUGAAAUUGUUUUUCCGGAGUGGAGACACUGACCUGAAAAUAACAAAUGGGAUUGAAUUAUCCAUCUUGUAAAAGCAAUUAAGUUUGGUUUUAGUUUUUGAAUAUAAAACAUUGAACUGAGAACACACCUUUAAAGUAAAGAUGGAAAAUAGUAGGAAUCAUAGAAUUAAUUACAAAAAGCUGUUCUGUGUCAUGUGGUUGUAUGGAAAACUGUUUACAUGGAAAAUGCUAGAUAGCAAAUGAACGACGAUCUGAAGCACUGCAUAAAAGCUGGGUGCAGUUGAUUACAUAUUUUUGGCAACCAGUGGUCACAUCUACUCUUGUGUGCAGGGUGAGGACAAACAGGAGUGAACGUCAGUAGCUUAGUUUGCUAAUUCUGGGAGCUCAAGAUAUUUAAGAUCAUUACGUUAUGAGAGCUCAAGAUAUUGAUAUCCGAAACAAAUACCCACGAUGCAGAAGAGAAUGUAUUGUAAUGAAAUUUCUUAUCGUUCUAUGCAUUGCUAUGCUACUACACAAUUUGUUAUAUAAGACUUGUUGAUCCUCCGGGUACAAAUUCUACCCUGGCCAACAUUAGGGAGUUGCACAUAGAGUGAAGUAGCAAAUGUCAUUAUAUAUUAGUAUUAUUUUCCAUAUCAGUUAGUUAAGCCAAAUAUUUCUUUAUUAUUGUGCUUCACUAGUGAUACAUAAGGCAUUGAUAUUUGAAGGUGCAUAAGCUUCCACACCAACAGUCGAUCAUGAAUUGAUGCCUCAAAACAUUUUGUGCAUUCGAAAAUAGUACGAGAGCAUGGAACCAGUUCCUUCAGUGAAGAGAUACAUUGACUUUGUUGUCAUUAUACACACCCACUGCUACUUUGUUGCCUAUGUACGUGCCAGCAGUGUUGUACUGCUGUCCAAGUUCUUGCCAUUUCAAAUUUAUAUGCUACGGCUGCAUUUAGUUCAGAUGCUUGUUAUAGCUAAUUGCCAGCUUAGUUAAGCAUACGUUAUUUGCAUGUUCCAGCAGUGUUACCGGCUGAUGUCUAGAUAUUUAUUUUCAUAUUUCAUUUGCAACAAUCAGUCCAUGCUGGAGCAGAUGGAGAGCAUUGGUCAGAGCGUAGAAUCUACUGCUACAGUUGCGCUGGAAGAUGAUGCCAAUAGCAGUUUCACGGAUGCAAAGGAGUUGGUUUCCGGCAGUAUAGAUAGUUACAGUACACCAAGGAAAAGAAGUAGCAUGCCGAUCCAUAUUUACACAACAUAAGGGGAGUGAUGGUAAUACCAGUAUGGAAGCGUUUUACUUGUGCAUGGAAAGCAUGGAGGGAGGAGAAAACUGUAUUGAACUGUCAUGUGAAGAAGUCGAGGAAGAAAGUAAAGCUAACUAGUUUUUUUAAACAAAAAGCUAACUAGUUGUGGUUGUGAGGCCAUGAUUAGCUUGAGGAGAAGAGAUGAUGGAAACUAUGAGGUCCUCCGAUUCGUCUGUCAGCACACGCAUCAACUUGUCUCUACGAAUAAGAAACAAUUCACUAGAACUAACAGGGAGGUCAGUAGUGAAUUGAGGCGCACAUUCUUGACAUGUCACAAAGCAUUGAUGGGACCUUGCCAAAAAAAUUGGCGUGCACUAAUUGGGACCAAGAGAGGUACCUAGAGAAAUUGGUGUCAGACAGAGGUGCGAACUGGAGCCCCCAAUCAUCCAUGCUCAUUGGCCAACCAGCAUAAUAUUCAUUGAAGCAUUUGAACAAAAGUAGUCUGGUGCUUCCGUGCAAUGGCCAUGUCCCGCGCCUUGCCAUGGUGCUGGAAUGCAUUUGUUCUUUACAAAAGGGUCGAAAAAAUUGAUCGCUUUCGUUACCAUGCCCCAUACAAUGAUUACCCAGCCUUCUGGGCAUGGUACUGGGAUGAAGAACUGCAGUCCAAACAAAACCAUAACUGGUUAACGCUGGUCAAAGGGACGAAUCUGGGGCCGGCGUCAUCCAUAUCGCCCGACACUUUGACGGGUCAAGUUGAAGUUGCUGCUCACGAAGGUCAGUUUGUAGCCUCGAUAGCACAAUUCAGUUUUAUCUUUGUGUAAACCAGUUCAACCCUUUUUUGACACCCCGUAUGCAUGCUUGCACAACAUAAUGUCUCCAAAACCAAGAUGGAUACGCACGAGUGCAUGAAGCUCCAGGGCAAAUUCUCCACACUCUCCCAUGAUGCACUAUCUAGUCUUGGCACCAUCCGACUCUGUAUUCGACUCUUAGCAAGCCAGAUUAUGCCUGAACCACCAUAUCACUAGCCACUGCGAUUUCCAUAAUAUGUAGUUUGUCAGUUUGCAUUAUGUACCUUCAACCUUGUCACUGUUAUGUACCCUCAACCUUGUCACUCUUAAGUUAUUUCCAUGGAUGUCUGUCUUGCUCGACCCCACCUGCUUUCAUAAUUUCAUCACCCUACCUACUUAUUAUCAUGCUCUUUUCAAGAGGUCCGGUUUUGAUCUAAACCCUUGCCCCCAGUGUUGAUCCAUCUUCUGUGAUAUGCCUCCGAGUCGAAACAGGACAUCAGCAAGAACAUCCUGUUCUAAACGUCAUGCCCAACAGCUCAAAGAUGUAUCUCCCCC
Long non-coding RNA from Triticum aestivum (bread wheat), 3057 nucleotides. RefSeq lists it as uncharacterized. The record is from RefSeq and is a predicted model, not a curated record. The transcript has 4 exons. Lineage: Eukaryota; Viridiplantae; Streptophyta; Magnoliopsida; Poales; Poaceae.